GUGGCCGUAGUUCAGUUGGUUAGAGCGUCAGAUUGUGGUUCUGAAUGUCGUGGGUUCGAGUCCCACCUGCCACCCACCA
Molecule: transfer RNA, 79 nt
Filed under: Hoylesella timonensis CRIS 5C-B1
Lineage: Bacteria; Pseudomonadati; Bacteroidota; Bacteroidia; Bacteroidales; Prevotellaceae
Also listed under: 1 other name
Description: tRNA-His
Rfam family: tRNA
About the family: Transfer RNA (tRNA) molecules are approximately 80 nucleotides in length. Their secondary structure includes four short double-helical elements and three loops (D, anti-codon, and T loops).
Source: RNAcentral